Molecule: ribosomal RNA, 292 nt
Filed under: uncultured Acidobacteriota bacterium
Lineage: Bacteria; Pseudomonadati; Acidobacteriota
Description: uncultured Acidobacteria bacterium partial 16S ribosomal RNA
Source: RNAcentral
GGACUACACGGGUAUCUAAUCCUGUUUGCUCCCCUAGCUUUCGUUCCUCAGCGUCAGUUGCGGUCCAGCGAGCCGCCUUCGCCACGGGUGUUCCUGCAGAUCUCUACGCAUUUCACCGCUACACCUGCAAUUCCACUCGCCUCUCCCGCACUCGAGCACGGCAGUUUUGAAAGCAGCCUCUGAGUUAAGCCCAGAGAUUUCACUCCCAACUUGCCGCACCGCCUACGAACCCUUUACGCCCAGUAAUUCCGAGCAACGCUGGCCCCCUACGUAUUACCGCGGCGGCUGGCAC